RNAcentral lists this ribosomal RNA (229 nucleotides) under uncultured bacterium. Its description in RNAcentral is "partial 16S ribosomal RNA". It matches the Rfam family "Bacterial small subunit ribosomal RNA", at positions 568 to 796 of the family's 1533-position model. The record is from RNAcentral.
UGCGUAGGCGGGCUAAUAAGUCAGUGGUGAAAUCUUCCGGCUCAACCGGGAAACUGCCAUUGAUACUGUUAGCCUUGAGUUAGGUUGGGGUAGGCGGAAUGUGUAAUGUAGCGGUGAAAUGCUUAGAUAUUACACAGAACACCAAUUGCGUAGGCAGCUUACUGGACCUACACUGACGCUGAGGCACGAAAGCGUGGGGAGCGAACAGGAUUAGAUACCCUGGUAGUCC